AACGAACGCUGGCGGCAUGCCUAACACAUGCAAGUCGAACGAGACCUUCGGGUCUAGUGGCGCACGGGUGCGUAACGCGUGGGAACCUGCCCUUAGGUUCGGAAUACCUCCCCGAAAGGGGUCCUAAUACCGGUUAAUGUCUUCGGACCAAAGAUUUCUCGCUUUUGGGUGGGCCCGCGUUGGAUUAGCUAGUUGGUAGGGUAAAAGCCUACCAAGGCGACGAUCCAUAGCUGGUCUGAGAGGAUGAUCAGCCACACUGGGACUGAGACACGGCCCAGAAUCCUACGGGGGGGAGCAGUAGGGAAUAUUAGGCAAGGGGCGAAAGCCUGAUCAAGCAAUGCCGGGUGAGUGAUGAAGGCCGUAGGGUUGUAAAGCUCUUUUACCCGGGAUGAUAAUGACAGUACCGGGAGAAUAAGCUCCGGCUAACUACGUG
RNAcentral lists this ribosomal RNA (433 nucleotides) under uncultured bacterium. RNAcentral describes it as "partial 16S ribosomal RNA". It matches the Rfam family "Bacterial small subunit ribosomal RNA", at positions 29 to 507 of the family's 1533-position model. The record is from RNAcentral.